This 253-nucleotide ribosomal RNA is filed under the name uncultured bacterium. Its description in RNAcentral is "partial 16S ribosomal RNA". It matches the Rfam family "Bacterial small subunit ribosomal RNA", at positions 524 to 776 of the family's 1533-position model. The record is from RNAcentral.
UACGGAGGGGGCAAGCGUUACUCGGAAUUAUUGGGCGUAAAGGGCGCGUAGGCGGUCGUGUGCGUCAGAGGUGAAAUCCCCGGGCUUAACCCGGGAGCCGCCUCUGAUACGGCAUGGCUUGAGUCCGGGAGAGGAGAGCAGAAUUCCCAGUGUAGCGGUGAAAUGCGUAGAUAUUGGGAGGAAUACCGGUGGCGAAGGCGGCUCUCUGGACCGGUACUGACGCUGAGGCGCGAAAGCGUGGGUAGCAAACAGG